GAAACAGAUGGGAAUCAAAAAGACUGAAUGAAGCAGAAACCCAGAAGCUACCCCACAGGCAAUCGCAUGGGACUCAGAUGUUAAUGGACAAUAAGCUUUUAUUGCACAGAAAGGUCAUUGCAGUCAGAGGUUGGGGAUUGCUUGCUGCUACAGCCGAAUGGAUUCUAUUCUGACCAAUACAGAAGGAAAGAAAUCAUAGACGCCCUGCCUGAGCAGAAGGGAGGUGAUAGAUGAAAUGAACUGUAUGAAGAUCCACCAGCCUGGCCCACACGUGGAAGAAGGACUGGCCCGUCUUCUUGAAGCCCAAGCUCUGGUAGAGGCCCAUGGCAGAGAGCUGGAUGUUGCUGGUGUCCAGGACAACUUCACUGUAGCCCUAGUCCCGGGCAAACUGGAGGACAGUCCUGACCAGGGCUUUUGCUAUCCCCUGACCACGGUGCUCAUUGUCCACAGAGAGAUGAAACAGCUGCAACCGCUUCUCCCUCAAGGUGGGAUCAUCAACGGGCAGAGCUCCUACUGUGCCCACCACCUUCUCUUCAGAUUCACCCACCCAGAAGCAGGAGCCACACUCACUCAGUUUAAAAGUCUUCAGUUCCAGUUCAUUUUCAAUUCCUGAAUAAAGGGAUGAGUCUUGGAGCUUCUGGAAGCUGGCCUGGAACUGAGCACUUACUGCAGACAGUGCCUGAAGUGCAAACCCAAAGGUGCGUAGAUCUGGGCUGCAUGUGAAAGCUUUCAUAUUCAGGUCUUACUUUGCGACAGUGAGGGGUGACCAGGGAAGCCUAUAUGAGGGGCGGGGGCAAACCAAGGCAGCCUGGGAGCUGCCUUAACCACCUCUCACCUCACUUCCUCAGAGAUAAGGUUUUCUUGAAGGGAACGUGCAGAUUUAUACAAAAUACUAACAAGCUGAGAUUUUAAUUUUUUAAGCAAUAAGGAAAAACAGAACUUUUCACUCCAAAGACCCUGUGUUAGGCUCGGCAGAACUGGUGGCACAUCUCAGGAGUCAUGGGGCAAUGCUCUCAGAAACAAUGUUAGGGAAAAAAAAAAAAAAACGAAAAACAAUGAAGAGGCUUAAUUCUUCUUGUUAAAGGAAGAGGUAUCCUCUGUCCCUUUUCUUAGAGCAUUUUGUUUGGAAAACUUGUCAUUUUAAAUCCUUCCUCUGCCCCUUUGAGGGGCAUGCAAAGCUUUUUGACAGCUAAAUAAGCCUCUUGCCAGCUUUGCAACCCAGGACUGUGUUCCUGAAGGACCUGGGAUCCCAAUCUUUGAAACGUUAUCAUCAGAGCAGCCAGGUCCCUAUCUCCCAGUCUCCAUGGGAGGGCAGGAACCUAACUUUUGCCCUGUGUGAUAAAUCUACCUCCUAUCAUAAAGAUAAGGGUUGUUUUUCCUUUGUAUGAAGUCAAAUAGCAGACGCAGGUUGUCGAGUGAAUUGAGGUUGAAUCUCUGUAAACUCGGUGUGACCAAAAGUGCUGUGCAGGCCCCCUGACCUGAGGACUAGGCAUGGCUUCUCUUGAGAACGUGUGCAAUGGUUUGGACCCACUGGCUAGAUUAGCGGUGAGAUUUCUGUCUGUCUUUGCAGCUUCUUAGCGGAUCAUUGCCCGUGAUGCGCAUCUCACUCUGGGUUAAUCCUUU
RNAcentral lists this long non-coding RNA (1623 nucleotides) under Homo sapiens (human). Its description in RNAcentral is "non-protein coding lnc-C2orf78-1:1". Lineage: Eukaryota; Metazoa; Chordata; Mammalia; Primates; Hominidae. The record is from RNAcentral.